RNAcentral lists this ribosomal RNA (288 nucleotides) under Escherichia coli. RNAcentral describes it as "partial 23S ribosomal RNA". It matches the Rfam family "Bacterial large subunit ribosomal RNA", at positions 1 to 291 of the family's 2925-position model. Lineage: Bacteria; Pseudomonadati; Pseudomonadota; Gammaproteobacteria; Enterobacterales; Enterobacteriaceae. The record is from RNAcentral.
GCGACUAAGCGUACACGGUGGAUGCCCUGGCAGUCAGAGGCGAUGAAGGACGUGCUAAUCUGCGAUAAGCGUCGGUAAGGUGAUAUGAACCGUUAUAACCGGCGAUUUCCGAAUGGGGAAACCCAGUGUGAUUCGUCACACUAUCAUUAACUGAAUCCAUAGGUUAAUGAGGCGAACCGGGGGAACUGAAACAUCUAAGUACCCCGAGGAAAAGAAAUCAACCGAGAUUCCCCCAGUAGCGGCGAGCGAACGGGGAGCAGCCCAGAGCCUGAAUCAGUGUGUGUGUUA